UAUCACUACAAUACUAUUUAUACAACCAGUAAUCCUUCUAGAGUACGUGUUGAGUAAUGCCUUUUUUAUCUACUGCUGUUCCUUCACCUUCUCUCGCCUCACCCACUCCCAUGCAACGUCCUCCGCUGCAGUCUUUCGCCCAGUACGCUGCACCUCGGUCACUUCUUGACCUGCAAUCAGCAGACUUUGACCGACGAUUACACCCACCACACAAGCCCAUGCCUCUCCCAAUUGUUUCCAAGUUCCCGGCAGACCAAUUCCAAGACGGCAGAGGUUUUGCCAAACGCCUUGCAAGAUCGUGAGCUUGUCCAUUAAUUGUUGAACCGAAAGACCAGAGAUAGCAUCGAGCACUUGUGAUCGAGUGAUGUAAUGCUCAGGCAGACCAAGGAGAUCGGGAAGAAGAGCCCGAGAAGGGUGGUGGAGAUGUCGGUGGAUGAUAGGGAACGUCGAAGGAGAUGGAAUAGGGAGGGGAACAAGAGGAAGAUGUAUGAAACCCUUGUCGUCCUUGAUAGGUUUCGGCAACCUGGGAAGGUCAACGAAUUCGACCUCUGAAUCACUGUCAGACCAUGAUGAUGAAGAUGAAAAGGAAGCAUCGGAAACAUUCUCUUCAGUCUCAACGAUAGCAGGGAGAGAGGUGGAUGCGGCUGACGUUGAAGGUGUGGGACGUUUGGGAGUAGGGAUAGGUAAUGAAGUGGUCAAAAGUCGAGGCCAGUAUGCGCAUUGAGUAGCAAAAACAAGACUAUUGACUGCAACAAUCAUGUUGCCUCUUGACUCCUCUACAGGUUUGCAAAUGACAGCAAGUGCCAGAUCGGGCUCUCGUCCUCGUGCUUUGGCAGCCCAAUGAGGUUUGCUACCGUCGACAACCUCUGGAAUGGCAAAGGCGAGAGUGGUACGAGGCAAGACUUUGGGGUCGGGGUGAGGAAUGGAAGCAUAAGGUCGGUAGGCAAGGGUAAUGGUAGCAAAGGAGGGAAGAAGAGGAAACAUGCGGUCGAAGAUGUAUUGAACGGGCUAAAUAUGUGGUACUCAUUAUCAAUGUACUCAAAAGAAGGGAACCUAGGAUAAGGCAACUUGAGAGGAACUUUGACUUGACCAGGAACCGGAGCAGGAGGGUGCCAAACGGCUCUUCUUAACCUCUCCAACCUCGCCAACUUCGCACUUUCCACAUCUGGUCCUUGAACCAACUUCAAAGGUGGAGGCCUGGUCUUACUCUUCUUUAUGGCAGCCUUGGGCCUAACACUCUUAGAUUUAACAGCAGCCUUCUUGGCACGGGUGAUAGAGGUAGAUCGGUUGUAAGGCUUGUUGGAGUGGCGACGAUAAGUGAAUUUGGGAGCACGGCCAAGACCAAGGGCAACGAUCUUCUUUUUGGGCGGAGGAGUAACUCCAGAAAGUGAGGUACGCAAGGAAAGAGAGAUGGCGUCGAUAUCGUUGAGGGCGAUGCUGGAUGGGGGGGAGUUUUCCUUAUUGGAAGAGACCCGAGGGUCAAGAUAAGUAGCCAUGGCCAAUGGACGGAAGGAUGAUCUAAAGAAGAAAAAAAAGCAGCAAGUCAAUAAUGCCCUCAAAGACUCAAUAACACCGGCCAAAACUCACGUUGAGUGAAAAAAUCUACUGUAGGAUAAAGAAGCCUGAGUAGUCGCUGAAGGCAGAGUGAACGGGCCUCGAGUCGUAAAUUAAGUGUCUGUAAGGCAGUGGACUGUUAGGGGAUUUGUUGGAAGCGGAUGCUGGACAGCUAUGCAUCCUGUAGCUCUCUCUUG
RNAcentral lists this small RNA (1751 nucleotides) under Cryptococcus neoformans H99. RNAcentral's name for it is "Cryptococcus neoformans var. grubii H99 hypothetical RNA". Lineage: Eukaryota; Fungi; Basidiomycota; Tremellomycetes; Tremellales; Cryptococcaceae. The record is from RNAcentral.